RNAcentral lists this ribosomal RNA (253 nucleotides) under uncultured Eubacteriales bacterium. RNAcentral's name for it is "uncultured Clostridiales bacterium partial 16S ribosomal RNA". It matches the Rfam family "Bacterial small subunit ribosomal RNA", at positions 524 to 776 of the family's 1533-position model. Lineage: Bacteria; Bacillati; Bacillota; Clostridia; Eubacteriales. The record is from RNAcentral.
UACGUAGGGGGCAAGCGUUAUCCGGAUUUACUGGGUGUAAAGGGAGCGUAGACGGCGUGCCAAGUCUGGUGUGAAAGGCCGGGACUCAACCCCGGGACUGCAUUGGAAACUGGCAUGCUGGAGUGCCGGAGGGGCAAGCGGAAUUCCUAGUGUAGCGGUGAAAUGCGUAGAUAUCAGGAGGAACACCAGUGGCGAAGGCGGCUUACUGGACUGUGACUGACGUUGAGGCCCGAAGGCGUGGGGAGCAAACAGG